AAAGUAUCAACAUCCUAUGUUAAUAAUGGACUUGAAGAUGUUGAAAAUAAUAAUGCAAUAUGACAAUACAGCAGUUUACUCAAGGAAUGGAGACGCAUGGAUUCACUUAUCUCACACGUGGGAAAGUAUCAACAUCCUACAUUAAUGGACUGGAGGAGGUCGAGAAUAUUGCAGGUUUAAUGCAGUCUACGUAUAAUAGUUACUCAAAGCAGUACGGCAGAUCACUCAAGUCACGCUGAUACAUGAAUUCACAUUUCUCACGCGUGGGAUAGUAUCAACAGCCUACGUUGCAAAUGGACUAGAAGAUGCUGAGAAUAAUACGUGUUAUAUGCAAUAUGGCAGUACGGCAGUUCACUUAAGGAAUUCUGACGCAUGGAUUCACUUAUCUCACACGUGGGAAAGUAUCAACAUCCUAUGUUGCAAAUGGACUUGAAGAUGCUGAGAAUAAUACGUGUUAUAUGCAAUAAGGCAGUACGGCAGAUCACUCAAGUCACGCUGAUACAUGAAUUCACAUUUCUCACGCGUGGGAUAGUAUCAACAGCUUACGUUGCAAAUGGAC
RNAcentral lists this unclassified non-coding RNA (559 nucleotides) under Rhopalosiphum maidis (corn leaf aphid). RNAcentral's name for it is "uncharacterized LOC113556393, transcript variant X26". The record is from RNAcentral. Lineage: Eukaryota; Metazoa; Arthropoda; Insecta; Hemiptera; Aphididae.